RNAcentral lists this ribosomal RNA (497 nucleotides) under uncultured bacterium. RNAcentral's name for it is "partial 16S ribosomal RNA". It matches the Rfam family "Bacterial small subunit ribosomal RNA", at positions 28 to 507 of the family's 1533-position model. The record is from RNAcentral.
GAUGAACGCUGGCGGCGUGCCUAAUACAUGCAAGUCGAGCGAACGGACGAGAAGCUUGCUUCUCUGAUGUUAGCGGCGGACGGGUGAGUAACACGUGGAUAACCUACCUAUAAGACCGGGAUAACUUCGGGAAACCGGAGCUAAUACCGGAUAAUAUUUUGAACCGCAUGGUUCAACAGGGAAAGACGGUCUUGCUGUCACUUAUAGAUGGUUCCGCGCUGCAUUAGCUAGUUGGUAAGGUGACGGCGUUCCAAGGCAACGAGGACUAGCCGACCUGAGGGGGUGAUCGGCCACACUGGAACUGAGACACGGUCCAGGCUCCGACGGGAGGCAGCAGUAGGGAAUCUUCCGCAAAGGGCGUAAGCCUGACGGAGCAACGCCGCGUGAGUGAUGAAGGUCUUCGGAUCGUAAUACUCUGUUAUUAGGGAAGAACAGAUGGGUAAGUAACUGUGCACAUCUUGACGGUACUUAAUCAGAAAGCCCCGGCUAACUACGUG